GGUCCUGGGGCUCGCGCGCCUGCCCAGGGACCCCCAGAGCUUCAUGGGGGUCAUCGGUCAGUGCAGACCCCUCCCCGGAUCCCCUCUGACCCGCCCUGAAAACCCCAAACCUCCCCCGGGAUCCCAAAACCUCCCCAAACCCUCACAAAUUCCCUCCCCCGGUUCCCCCCCAAAUUCCCUCCUGAACCUCCCCAAAACCCUCCAGAUCCUUCUGGAUCCCCCCAAAUUCAUCCCAAAACCCGGACUGGGGGGGAGAGGGGGCUGGGAAUGGGAUUUGGGGCAGGGAUUUGGGGAAUUUUGGGGGGUCCCCCCACCCCGGGGGCUCUUCGUGACUCCCCCGUCCCCCCCAGACCAAUCUACCCUGGACGAAGCCUCCCUCCAGUUCCGCCGGACACUGGCUCGGGUCAUGGCCCAGGAUAUUCAAGACCAGAAGAUCUACCAGGAGAUGCUCUGGGCCAUGCGGGAGAUCAAGGAGGACUUUGAGCGGAUCAUGAAGCGUUUCCAGAGCCAGGUUUAUUGCCCCAAUAAAUGCGGGCGGAUGGAGGUGUUGUGGAUCGAGUGCAUCUUCUGCAACCUCACCCACUUCGCCUGCAACAGGG
This 599-nucleotide long non-coding RNA is filed under the name Cyanistes caeruleus (blue tit). Its description in RNAcentral is "lncRNA (ENSCCEG00000003881.1)". Lineage: Eukaryota; Metazoa; Chordata; Aves; Passeriformes; Paridae. The record is from RNAcentral.